This 553-nucleotide ribosomal RNA is filed under the name uncultured bacterium. RNAcentral's name for it is "bacterial SSU rRNA". It matches the Rfam family "Bacterial small subunit ribosomal RNA", at positions 199 to 740 of the family's 1533-position model. The record is from RNAcentral.
UUUGAAAGAUGGUUCUGCUAUCACUCUUGGAUGGACCUGCGGUGCAUUAGCUAGUUGGUAAGGUAACGGCUUACCAAGGCAAUGAUGCAUAGCCGAGUUGAGAGACUGAUCGGCCACAUUGGGACUGAGACACGGCCCAAACUCCUACGGGAGGCAGCAGUAGGGAAUCUUCCACAAUGGACGAAAGUCUGAUGGAGCAACGCCGCGUGAGUGAAGAAGGGUUUCGGCUCGUAAAGCUCUGUUGGUAGUGAAGAAAGAUAGAGGUAGUAACUGGCCUUUAUUUGACGGUAAUUACUUAGAAAGUCACGGCUAACUACGUGCCAGCAGCCGCGGUAAUACGUAGGUGGCAAGCGUUGUCCGGAUUUAUUGGGCGUAAAGCGAGUGCAGGCGGUUCAAUAAGUCUGAUGUGAAAGCCUUCGGCUCAACCGGAGAAUUGCAUCAGAAACUGUUGAACUUGAGUGCAGAAGAGGAGAGUGGAACUCCAUGUGUAGCGGUGGAAUGCGUAGAUAUAUGGAAGAACACCAGUGGCGAAGGCGGCUCUCUGGUCUGCAAC